UACAGAGGGUGCGAGCGUUAAUCGGAAUUACUGGGCGUAAAGGGCGCGUAGGCGGUCUUGUAAGUUGGAUGUGAAAUCCCUGGGCUUAACCUGGGAACUGCAUUCAAAACUGCUUGACUAGAGUUUGGUAGAGGGUAGUGGAAUUCCCGGUGUAGCGGUGAAAUGCGUAGAUAUCGGGAGGAACAUCAGUGGCGAAGGCGGCUACCUGGACCAGAACUGACGCUGAGGCGCGAAAGCGUGGGGAGCAAACAGGAUUAGAAACCCCAGUAGU
RNAcentral lists this ribosomal RNA (271 nucleotides) under uncultured bacterium. RNAcentral describes it as "partial 16S ribosomal RNA". It matches the Rfam family "Bacterial small subunit ribosomal RNA", at positions 524 to 794 of the family's 1533-position model. The record is from RNAcentral.